This 135-nucleotide non-coding RNA is filed under the name Congregibacter litoralis KT71. Its description in RNAcentral is "TPP riboswitch aptamer (THI element)". It matches the Rfam family "TPP riboswitch aptamer (THI element)". Rfam says of the family: Vitamin B(1) in its active form thiamin pyrophosphate (TPP) is an essential coenzyme that is synthesised by coupling of pyrimidine and thiazole moieties in bacteria. The previously detected thiamin-regulatory element, thi box was extended, resulting in a new, highly conserved RNA secondary structure, the THI element, which is widely distributed in eubacteria and also occurs in some archaea. Analysis of operon structures identified a large number of new candidate thiamin-regulated genes, mostly transporters, in various prokaryotic organisms. The record is from Rfam by way of RNAcentral. RNAcentral also lists the same sequence under 1 other name. Lineage: Bacteria; Pseudomonadati; Pseudomonadota; Gammaproteobacteria; Cellvibrionales; Halieaceae.
CCGCAAACCGAGGGGUGGCUAAAAGCCUGAGACGCCAAAGCCUCAUCACUGCCUAAAAACAAUGAUGAAGCGCGGGGCGAACCCUUUGAACCUGAUCCGGGCAAUACCGGCGUAGGGAUGGUUGCUGCCCGGCCU